AUUUAUAUAGUUUAAUUAAAACAUUACAUUUUCACUGUAAAAAUAAAGAAAAUUUCUUUUAUAGAUU
Molecule: transfer RNA, 67 nt
Filed under: Monodiamesa sp. 1 CZ-2021a
Lineage: Eukaryota; Metazoa; Arthropoda; Insecta; Diptera; Chironomidae
Description: tRNA-Glu
Rfam family: tRNA
About the family: Transfer RNA (tRNA) molecules are approximately 80 nucleotides in length.
Source: RNAcentral